AACUUUCGGCAACGGAUCUCUUGGUUCUCGCAACGAUGAAGAACGCAGCGAAAUGCGAUAAGUAGUGUGAAUUGCAGAAUUCAGUGAAUCAUCGAAUCUUUGAACGCACCUUGCGCUCCCUGGUAUUCCGGGGAGCAUGCCCGUUUCAGAACCAAUAAAAAUCUCACAAGGCCAAUUGCUUUCGGGCAUUUGGUUCUUUUGAAUAUGGAUUUUUGCUUUUGCAAUCAUCUUAAACUGAUUGUGUGUGCACCAAUUGAUGCGUCAUUUGGUUGUCUCAAGUGCAACAGAUUUAUCUAUUUCGCUUGGGCAAGCUCUUGAUGUUGGUUGACGCUCAUGCUCAUUUUUCUACACAAAGUCCCCAUGUCGAUCAUCGGAACUUUGAUAACUUGGUCUGAAAUCGGGCAAGAAAACCCGCUGAACUUAAGCAUAUCAAUAAGCGGAGGCU
RNAcentral lists this unclassified non-coding RNA (445 nucleotides) under uncultured Spizellomyces. RNAcentral describes it as "sequence contains ITS2". The stretch from base 1 to 154 matches the Rfam family "5.8S ribosomal RNA". The record is from RNAcentral. Lineage: Eukaryota; Fungi; Chytridiomycota.